RNAcentral lists this ribosomal RNA (528 nucleotides) under uncultured bacterium. RNAcentral describes it as "partial 16S ribosomal RNA". It matches the Rfam family "Bacterial small subunit ribosomal RNA", at positions 355 to 874 of the family's 1533-position model. The record is from RNAcentral.
UGGGGAAUAUUGCACAAUGGGCGCAAGCCUGAUGCAGCCAUGCCGCGUGUGUGAAGAAGGCCUUCGGGUUGUAAAGCACUUUCAGCGAGGAGGAAGGUGGUGAGCUUAAUACGCUCAUCAAUUGACGUUACUCGCAGAAGAAGCACCGGCUAACUCCGUGCCAGCAGCCGCGGUAAUACGGAGGGUGCAAGCGUUAAUCGGAAUUACUGGGCGUAAAGCGCACGCAGGCGGUUUGUUAAGUCAGAUGUGAAAUCCCCGGGCUCAACCUGGGAACUGCAUUUGAAACUGGCAAGCUAGAGUCUCGUAGAGGGGGGUAGAAUUCCAGGUGUAGCGGUGAAAUGCGUAGAGAUCUGGAGGAAUACCGGUGGCGAAGGCGGCCCCCUGGACGAAGACUGACGCUCAGGUGCGAAAGCGUGGGGCAGCAAACAGGAUUAGAUACCCUGGUAGUCCACGCUGUAAACGAUGUCGAUUCGGAGGUUGUGCCCUUGAGGCGUGGCUUCCGGAGCUAACGCGUUAAAUCGACCGCCU